CAGAUUCUCCCAAAGAGGCUCAAAGUGUGGCUUCAUCCAACACAAAGGAAGACAGGCCUCAGAGGAAAAGGACCAGAGAAACAUUUACAGGAAGCAGCAGUCCAGAGACCAGUUCCUCGCCAAGAAAGAGGUUGAGAAUGAUGAUACCUGAGGUUUCCCAAACAUCAGGCCCUGAGGAGUCCAGACGCCAGCUCUUCAGAGAGGAAA
Long non-coding RNA from Melanotaenia boesemani (Boeseman's rainbowfish), 207 nucleotides. RefSeq lists it as uncharacterized. The transcript is spliced from 3 exons. NCBI's taxonomy places the organism in Eukaryota, Metazoa, Chordata, Actinopteri, Atheriniformes, Melanotaeniidae. The record is from RefSeq and is a predicted model, not a curated record.